UAUUGGAUCCAAUCAGGUACUGUUAAGAGAGACCAUAGGACUUGAUUCAUUGAUAUCAAUUUUAAAGCUGAGAGGAAAUGCUUUCUCUUUUACUCAACAGAAGCAGAUUGUUGAUAUUGGCAAAACUCUGCCAUUAUUCAUGGAGCGUCAAACCUUAGGUGACAGGACGUGAAGAACCAUGCUCUGCAAAGUGUCUUGUUUUCAAUGUUGCAGGUGUGUGACACUUAUUAAAAGCUUCUUCAUGAGAAAAAAGAUGUAUGAACAU
Molecule: non-coding RNA, 265 nt
Organism: Arachis ipaensis
Lineage: Eukaryota; Viridiplantae; Streptophyta; Magnoliopsida; Fabales; Fabaceae
Source: RefSeq, a predicted model, not a curated record